Molecule: microRNA precursor, 193 nt
Filed under: Oryza brachyantha (malo sina)
Lineage: Eukaryota; Viridiplantae; Streptophyta; Magnoliopsida; Poales; Poaceae
Description: MIR812 microRNA precursor family
Rfam family: MIR812 microRNA precursor family
Source: Rfam by way of RNAcentral
AAUAAAUCAAUCUUUUACUUUUUACCUAUAAUCUUUGACUCUUCGUUUUAUUUAAAUUUUUUUACGAUUGAUAUUUUUGUUUUUAUUAGAUGAUAAAUUAUGAAUAGUACUUUACGUGUGACUAAUUUUUUCUAAUUUCCUAAAAAUUUUUCAAAUAAGACGGAUGAUCAAACGCUAGGUACAAUAACCGAAG